This 62-nucleotide transfer RNA is filed under the name Engaewa walpolea. RNAcentral's name for it is "tRNA-Ala". The record is from RNAcentral. Lineage: Eukaryota; Metazoa; Arthropoda; Malacostraca; Decapoda; Parastacidae.
GGAACUAUAGUCUAAUCAUGACAUAUGAUUUGCACUCAUAAAGUGUUUUAUAACUAGUUUCA